CCUAGCGCGUCCGCGCAGGCGUGAAGAGCCUCUCUCGUUUCCAUGGGAACCUUCGAGGGUCCCAGCGGCUCGACUCUGAGGACCGCGUGGCCGUUGCUCCCCCUCAGAUGUGGGAUGAUGGCGCAGGACUUCUGGAAGCUACAGAAGCUCCUCUUCCUGAACGGGGGACCCAAAGUGAGCUGUGACCUUGUCUCCCGGGCAGCUUGUGCUCCCAACCCUGGAGUCCUGUUCUUCCUCUUUGUCCUGCCCCUCCGGCUCGCCCCACCUCCACCGGCCACAGAUUCAAAAAGCUUGGCAAGACACACAUAGGAUGAGCACAAAGAAAAUCACACCUGGAGUGGGCACAUGAUAGUCAGACUGCUGAAAACCAGAAGUAAAGAAGACAUUUCGAAAGCAGAGAGAAAGAGAACCCACAAGCAGGCAAAGGCAGUGAGAGAAGCAGGCUCCCUGCCAAGCCAGGAGCCUGAUGUGGGACUCGAGCCCAGGACCCUGGGAUCAUGACCUGAAUCAAAGGCAGCAGCUUAACCGACUGAGCCACCCAAGCAUCCUGCUGACAAGACUUUGAAUCUAGAAUUCUUUAGCCGAUGAAAAUACCUUGCAGUAGGAGGGAGAAGGAACGACAUUUUAAGAAAAAUGACAGAGGAGAGAAUUUGCUGCUGGCAGGCCUGCACUAUGAGAAACGCUAAAGGGUGUUCUUCAGGCUGAAAGGAAAUUUGGCAACUUGGAUCCAUAGGAAGGAAUGAAGCACCACAAAAAUGAUAAUAUCUGGCUACACAGGAUUGCAUUGCUGGGUUUAUUUAAUUAGCUUCCAUGGAUGGGAACUUAACGCGGUUCCAAUGCUCUAUUACAAAUAAUGCGUACAGUGAAUAAGCUUAGGCCUGUGUUGCUAUAUGUCUGUGGAAGUGAAUCUUUGGAUCAGUUCCUAGAACUAGCAUUGCUGGACCAGAGGGCAAAUGUUCCGUCGUCCCACUAGCACUACCAAAUUCCUUUCCCCAGGAGGCUGUGCCAGUGGUAUUGCUCCUACACGUUUCCCCCCAGCCUGGCCAACAGACUAUACUGUCCAAGUUUUUUAGCUUUUGCCAGUCUUUUUUUUUUUUUUUUAAGAUUUUAUUUAUUUAUUUGACACAGAGAGAGAUCACAAGUAGGCAGAGAGGCAGACAGAGAGAGAGGGGGAAGCAGGCUCCCUGCUGAGCAGAGAGCCUGAUGCCGGGCUCGAUCCCAGGACCCUAGGAACAUGACCUGAGCUGAAGGCAGAGGCUUUAACCCACUGAGCCACCCAGGCGCCCAAGCUUUUGGCUGUCGUAUUUGAUGGUAGGUAUCUCAUCAUAUGUUUAAGGGUGGACUGGAAACUCUUUGAGGCUUGGGACCGAAGCUGCUUCUUCCAUGUGCUGCUCGUGCUAACAGGUGCCCCAUACUUGUUCAACAAGGAAAGAGACAAACUGCCUGGAUUUCUCUUGGACUCAUCAUGCUUGGAUUCUUGUGAAACCGGUCACCGUGACAGCUGACUCUUGUCCCAAUGUGUGCAGUGCCGGCUGCCCUGCAGAGGUCUAGUGAAAGAGGAGAUGGCCCUUGCCCUUGCCAGUGCCCUCACCCCCAAGGACAGGUAGAGGACCCCUCCGUCCCAGCAGAAUGUAGUCAAAAGAGGGUGGCAUUGAGUCCACAAGGCCGUUGCACUAGAUGGCACAAAGCCUCUUUUACUUUAGAAUUGUCUCUAGUACUGUUAAUAUUUGUUAAAUACGUCUCGCUUCUCGGCCUUUUGGCUAAGAUCAAGUGAAGACUGCCUUUCUUAUUGGUUGAUUAAAUAGGUAAUAUAGUCAUGUAGUUCAAAAUUCAUGUUAAUAAAAAAUGUCCCUUCAUUCCCUAUUUCCAACCCACUUGAGUUACCUUCCUCUCAAAAGCAACUGAUGGUUUGGAUUUCUGGAGUGUCCUCUCAGAGAUAUUUAUGCUGAUUGUAGGUGAAUGCACACUUUUUUUUAACCCAAAUAGUAGCGUAUUGUAUACACUCGCCUACAAAUCUUUGUUUCCCCACCUCACUUUUCCCCCAUCCAUCUGAGAGCCCGUUCUAUUCUAGACCAGGCCUUGCAGAGCUUGCUUGGACUUUUCCAGUGUGGUGUCCGUCGUGUACGGUAACUUCCUUUACCAGUGCCUUCCUGGUAGGCUGUUGAUAGUCUUUGCUAUUACAAAUGGAAAGAUCACAAAUAACCUUCCAUAUGUUGUUACACACGUACAGUUGUAUCCGUCGGACGCAUGUCUAGCUACGGACUGAAUGGGAUGCGUGCAUUUGUCAUUGUGACUAAGGAUGCCCAACUGGCAUCCUCGAGCUGUACCGGCUUACACCCCUGCAUUGCAGGAGUGGCUGUGGGAGGGUCCAGGGCAGCCACCCCCCGCCCCCCGGAGAGCCCGUGGAGGAGCGGCCAGGGCGGUCCUGUGCGCUUCGGCUGUGAUGAUCCUCCCUUCUCCACACCCCCCGAGGGGGCCUCUGGGGAGCACACCGAGGGCUGGCCCAGGGGACCCAUGGGCUUCAAGCAGGAAGUGUAAAGGAGCCACUUCUGCAGCUGACAGCUUCGACGCAUCCCUUGCUGAGAAAGCUCUAGGAGAAGACGGCUCCUGCCCUCAAGGCCAUGCAGCUCCCAUAAGUGACUUAUGUAGGGACCAGAUUUCACUCAGCUGAUGCCUACCUGAGUGUCGCAGGCUGGACGGGACCAACGGACCCAGCAGGAAGUAUGAAGGACACGCCAAGAUUCGGUCAGCCUGGAGGGCCUGCUGUGGAGCCCCCCGCCCCUGUGCUAGCACCCCCCACCCCGGAAUGAAACACUCAGCAGAGGGGACCAUGAAG
Molecule: RNA transcript, 2836 nt
Organism: Mustela lutreola (European mink)
Lineage: Eukaryota; Metazoa; Chordata; Mammalia; Carnivora; Mustelidae
Exons: 5
Source: RefSeq, a predicted model, not a curated record